This 6544-nucleotide long non-coding RNA is filed under the name Nicotiana benthamiana. Its description in RNAcentral is "long non-coding RNA (NBEN_LNC003573)". The record is from RNAcentral. Lineage: Eukaryota; Viridiplantae; Streptophyta; Magnoliopsida; Solanales; Solanaceae.
GCUAGUGGGCAAGAUAUCUAUAUAAAGUUGGACUCUUCCCAGUCAGGUACAAGUCUCUGCUACUUUACUUGUGCAUGUAGGGCUGUAAAGAAAGCUACAUUAGAUUCUAGACAAAACUGAAUGUCAUAAAAUGUGCAAGCUGAGGCCUGAGGUUUUUCAACAUCAUUUAAAAUAAAUAAAAAACAAAAAUAUUUCCUACUUAUGAAACUCAGAUGAAUUUAUUUGAAUCCUCAGGGAACUCCAGCGUAGAGAAAGUAAAGAAAUUGAGAAUCAGCUUGCCGUUGGGAGCAUCGAUUCUUCUCUUAGCAUUAUGUUUGAUCUUGUAUAUAAAGCAAAAGAAGAAGAAGAAGAAGGAUCAGGAUCAGAUACGUUUUGGCGAAGGUACCAGACGUUUUUCUGCUUCGAAAUUUGUGUUAUGUGGCUUGAGUAAAUGUGCUUUAAUUUCUGGAUCCACUUAGUCUCAGGAAUUUUCUGUUUACAUCCAGUUAAGUCCUUAGACAAGAGGGGUUGCUCUGAUGGUAAGCAGCCCCCACUUCCAACCGAGAGGUUGUGAGUUCNNNNNNNNNNNNNNNNNNNNNNNNNNNNNNNNNNNNNNNNNNNNNNNNNNNNNNNNNNNNNNNNNNNNNNNNNNNNNNNNNNNNNNNNNNNNNNNNNNNNNNNNNNNNNNNNNNNNNNNNNNNNNNNNNNNNNNNNNNNNNNNNNNNNNNNNNNNNNNNNNNNNNNNNNNNNNNNNNNNNNNNNNNNNNNNNNNNNNNNNNNNNNNNNNNNNNNNNNNNNNNNNNNNNNNNNNNNNNNNNNNNNNNNNNNNNNNNNNNNNNNNNNNNNNNNNNCCCAGGUAGGGGUAAGGUCUGCGUACACACUACCCUCCCCAGACCCCACUAAGUGGGAUUAUACUGGGUUGUUGUUGUUGUUGUUGUUGUUGUUGUCCAGUUAAGUCCUUAUUUUCAUCAGGAAAAGGAAGAAAGAUCUCUGAAAUGUUCUACAGCAAUGAAAGUAAAGAUGAAGUUCCAGAUUUACCAUUGUUUGAUUUUGCGACCAUCUUGGAUGCUACCGAUAACUUUUCACUGAACAACAAGCUUGGAGAGGGUGGUUUUGGUCCUGUUUAUAAGGUAACAUAGUUAGGGGCAACUCUUUCUUUUUCCUACAAACUAACUGCAGGACGUUAUCUUAUGAUGGAACACUGACUAUCUUAACUUAAAAAUAUAAGUUUUGGUUAGAAAAUUUGUCUCCAAUUCUCCUAUUUCCCUUGAACAACAAUGUGAUAUUAAGUAACCAACAUUCUGGAGAAGCUCUUUCAUCUAAUUGCUUGAUGAUACUUAGGGUAUGCUGAAAGAGGGACCAGAAAUUGCAGUCAAGAGACUUUCAAGAUACUCGGCCCAAGGGACUGAUGAGUUCAUGAAUGAAGUUAUCUUCAUUGCCAAACUCCAGCAUCGGAAUCUUGUUAAGCUUCUUGGUUGCUGUAUUCAAGCAGAAGAAACAAUGUUGAUUUAUGAGUACAUGCCAAACAGUAGUUUGGACUGGUUCCUUUGGUUGGUUCUCACUUUUUUUUAUUCCUGUAGCACACUUAGCUUUCAUGAAUUAUCUAGAAAAGUAGUAAAAUCAUAAGCUUUCGAUUUCUGCAGAUAGAGAUCAGAGCUUACUACUUGAUUGGCCUAAGUGCUUCCAUAUUAUUAAUGGAAUUGUGCGAGGACUUCUCUAUCUUCAUCAAGACUCAAGAUUGCGGAUAAUCCACAGAGAUCUUAAACCUAGCAAUGUUUUGUUAGAUAUUGAUAUGAACCCAAAGAUAUCUGACUUUGGAACGGCGAGAAGUUUCGGAGGAAAUGAGACUGGAGCAAGGACAACCAGAGUGGUUGGAACAUAGUAAAGAUCUUUAGAGCAAUAAUGAGCAAAUUCCUCUUCACUACAAAGCUACUUACUUUCUUUUGUUUAAUAUUGUCCUGCAGUGGCUACAUGUCUCCAGAGUAUGCAGCAGAAGGCAAAUUUUCAGUGAAAUCAGAUGUAUUUAGCUUUGGAGUUCUGGCACUGGAGAUUUUAAGCGGGAAGAGAAAUAGAGGGUUCUUCCAUCCAGACCAUCACCAUAAUCUUUUGGGACAUGUAGGAACUCUUCCUGUCUAUCUUAAAACUCAUGUUGGUUGGUAAAACUUAUAGCAUCUAACUGCAUGAUAUCAAACGUUCAGGUGUGGAUCCUCUUCAGAGAAGGCAGGAGUUGGGAACUAAUAAAUGCACAUCUAAGAGAGUCAAGCAACCUAUCUGAAGUGCAAAGAUCAUUCCAUGUAGGUCUAUUGUGUGUGCAGCACUGUCCAGAAGAUAGGCCUACUAUGGCAUCAGUUCUGCUGAUGUUGUCUAGUGACAUUCCAUUGCCCUUACCUAAAGAGCCAGGUUUUUUUACUAAAGCUUACAGUUCACCUAGCACGCAAGGCGAAAGUUCUGUAAAUGACAUAAGCAUCACAAUGGUGGAUGCUAGAUAGGAGAGCACUCUUUGCUUCAAGAGCAUCCAGUUGGUCAACUUAGUAAAGAAUUUUGUGUCCAAUAGCAAUGUGUCCUCUGUCCAGUAUAGUGUUUCACGGGGGAAUCCAUCGUCUGUAGGAUUCUUUCAUUGAAAUUGCAAAAGGGGUAUGUUGCUGCCAUUUUGAAAGGAUUACGAAGCACCCAAGUAAAAGUAAUGUCCCAACCUCCUGCUCUGAUUGGCACAAAGCACAAGAGUGAUGGUCAAAUGUGAACAAGUUCUUUUUUAGUCUAUUCUUCACUCAAGGAAAAAAUCUAUAUAUUUCCUUUUCGCUCAGACCUGCCUGAUUUUGAAAUCUGUUAGUGCUGUAGUUAACUUUGCAUCUGAUUUCUUGAAACUAAACAUUCAAGUUAGUCCCCUACCUCUUCGGAAGGUUAUGUUAUUCCAUGAAAUUCGAAAGGUUGUGUGACUUUUCAUGAAAGGAUUUAUCUGUUGAAAGACAACCCUUAAUAAAGAUAAGACUGGACAUGAGUGGAUGUCUUUGUUGGUCCAUAAAUAAUAAGACUUACCCAUCUUUCCAUGAGAAGAAGUUUGGCAGAUAUUAUUUUCAGAAUUACAAAAGCAGUUCAAAGCUUUAGAAAAGAACUUGUGAAUUGUUGAUAACAACUUUUGAAGGGAAAAGAUUAUUAAACCAGAGUGUGAAAUGUGGCUGGAAAGUGAAAACUAGUGAUUCCAAGUUCUUUAUAACAACAUGGAUAAAGAAAGUUUAGAUUCUUGGAGUCCAGGAAAUUUGUUCUGGAUCCUUUUUUUCAUUCGAGAAAACAAUUUAUAGAGUUAAGGAAACCUAGUACAAUCCCAUACAGUGAUGUUUGGGGAGAGUUUUGUAUACGCAGACCUUACUCUUAUCUUAUAAACGAAGAGAGGUUGUUUCCGAUUGACCCGCAAUUCAAGACAGUGAAAAAGACACAAUAAACGAACAGUAACAAUGGCAAGGACAUAAGAUAACAGAAACAAAUAGCACCGCUUGUAAUAGCAAAGGGACUAGGAAUACGAAGCUACAAGAGAAGUGCGGCACUAAUGCCACAUUGUCUAACAACAAGGAACUCGGAAUAAGCAGAGUACAAGACUAGAACUAUUAUCACUAGUAUGACUAGAAGAGACUCUCCACUAUCUGUCAACCCACAACCCUAAUCCUCGACUUCGACACCCUCUAUCGAGGGUCAUGUCUUCGGUAAGUUAAAUUAGUGUCAUGCCCUGCCUAAUCACCUCUCAUCAGUAAUUCCUAUGAUCAACCUCUCGCAUCUCCUCACUGGGGCAUCAAUGUCUCUCCUUUUCACAUACCCGAACCAUCUCAGCCUCGAUUCCCGCAGCUUGUCUUCCACAGCGCUACACCCACUUUGUCCCUAAUAACUUCAUUCCUAAUUCAAUUUUCUUGAUAUGCUCACACAUCCAUCUCAACAUCCUCAUCCCUGCUACUUUCAAAGUAACAUUAAAAAAAAUUCUAUGCUUAAUAAAAAAUAUUUAAAACAGUUAGCUUUAAUAUUAAAUGUCCAAAUAGGUUGUAGAUGCACGCAGUAGCGGAGACAGGAUCUCCACGAAGUCCUUGACCACUAAAUUACACUCUUGAGUUGUAUUAAGAGGAUUCAAAACUUAAUACAUAGUAGUAAACAUAGAUUUUGCCUUAUAUAUACAGUGUAAUUUUUCGGCGAAAGGGGUUCGGUGAACCUCUUCCGCCCCCUAAAUCCGCCACUGGGUGCACAUCAUGGACGAAUUCUCAUACUUUACACCUAAUUCUGAAAGCUCAUGAAUCAUUUGCAUAAUCAUAAUGUUUUCUAUCAUUUCAAUAAUUAUUACAAAGAUAUAAAUCAUAACCCUAUCACUCUAAUUCAUCAAUAUGCACGUACUUAUUCUUGAGUUAUGAAGUUCAUGUUCUAUCGUGUAUAUAUAUAUAUAUAUAUAUAUAUAUAUAUAUAUAUAUAUAUAUAUAUAUGCAAAGGUCCGAAACUGAUUAAUGUGCAGUAUUCUGAUAUAGAAUUCCAAUAAUACAAUUCUAAAGAGUUCCGGUUAAAGGCUAUACUUUCCAUUAUUAAAUUAAAUUUUUAUUUCCACGACCUCACAAUUGCAACAAUGUCAGCUAUUAUUACGUGUUCCCAGUGUUGUUAAAAGCGACCACUUCUCCGUUUAAAGAGAGAAGCAAUGCAAAGCGAGGUAUCUAACGCUUCUCUGAUUUAAAGCAUAUCAGGUACACAAAAGCGAUUGUUUUUUCUGAAAAAGUGAGAAGCAAGGAAGCGAACAAAAGCGAACGCUUCUCUUUAUAGUUGGGCUGCCAACUUUAACUAAUUAGAAAAGCUCUCUUUUUUAAAUUUCAAGAUCAUCAAAUUUAGUCCCAGCUAUGUGAUUUCUUCCUCCUCCUCCUCCUUUUCUUCUUCUUUUUCUUUCACCAUUUCAAUGUCCAAAUAGCAGCAAAAUGCUGGUGAAAAUUUUUUUUCCCUUCGGUUCUUCUUUUUCUCAUUCUCUUCUUCUUCUUCUUUAUUUUCUUUCACUGUUUCAAUGAUCAAUUGCGUGAGUUAAUUUCACUUAUGGUCACUCAACUACAUUUAAAUUUUAUUAAAGUCACUCAACUAGUUUUUGUCACUUAAAAAUAACUAAACUUUAACACUGCCACUUAAAAGUCGUUUUGGCUCAAACACCUACCAUAAAUACGACAUGACAUAAAAUUUAAUGAGAAAAAUUCAAAAAUAAAUGUCACAUAAACUUAAAUGGACCAUACCCACUUUAGAUUCAUUUCUCUUUAAAUGUGAUUUGACUUAUAACCAAAAUGGGUUUCAAUAGGGAAAAAAUACACCCCUUAAAAUUAGGUCUUGUCAUUUAUUUUGUGGGGUUUUUAUGGUACAAACACACUAUUUUUUUUUGUCUAAACAAUUGCAAUAGGUUAUUUGUAAUUGCAUGUUCAUUAUGAAAAUAGACUCUUAUUACCCUUAUUAUUAUUCAUGUAUGCUUAUGACACAUUAAUAGGUUAUGAAAGAUGAAUAUAAUAUUAUUUUAAUUUCACUAGAAAAUUAUAAAUUUGUUAUAUGAGUUGGAUACAAUAGUAUUUUAACUUCGAUAGAGUUAUAAAACAACCCAGACGGGGCAUACAAAUAAGAUAAGAAUUUUUUUUUAAUACAGAAUAAUAUAAAUGGGCAUUAUGUAACAGAAAAUGCAAGAAUUUUGUAGUAUAUGAUAAUCAUUUUAAACUAAUGUGAAAUUAAUAUUUUUUAUUGAAAGUAUUUGGAUUAUGAGUCAAGUCACAUUGAGGAAGAAAUAUAUCUAAAGUGGGUAUGAUUCACUUAAGCUUAUAUCGCAUUUAUUAUUGAACUCUUCUCAUUAAAUUUUAUGUCAUGUCAUAAUUAUGGUAGGGGUUUGAGCUACAAUGACUUUUAAAUGACAAUGUGAAAGUUUAGUUAUUUUUAAGUGACAAAAAAUAGUUGAAUAACUUUGGUGAAAUUGAGACAUAGUUAGAUGACCAUGCGAAAUUAACCCUAAAUUGCAGCGAAAUGCUGACCAGUUUUCAUUUCAAUUAUACUGCCAUUUUUUGGGCAUACUUAGUGGCAUUUUUUUCAUAUCAUUUAUUUUUAGUUGUCUAAGCAGUAUUUUUUUAUUUUUUUUUAAUUCCGCUUCAUUUCAAAAAUUCGCUUCUCGCUUCUAAUUUUAAGCGGAAAAAAGCUUGCCAUUUCUCCUCGCUUCACUCUCUUCGCAAUACUGGUGUUCCCAAUUCAAUUCUUAUCAGUACUACAAAUAUAAUUCAUAAUGAUUUUCUUUCAUAAUUCAAAGAAUACACUUUUUGGGGUUAACAUAAUAAUAUAUACCUAAGUACCAAUAUUGAGUUGAAGAGUUGUCCUCUCCUAGCUCUCGAUUCACGACGCCAUCCACUCCACCUGUAGCCUUUUCUUUCAAUUACAGUGCCGAUGUCACUCUGCUUUCUCUUGGUAUUUUUUUUCCACUUAUUUAUUUCUCAGGCGUGACUUUAAACCCCGCAACAAAGAAGAAUGGGUUUCGCCCACUUCUGCCUAACAAACCCCCAAUGGGUCUAGUACUAAUUUAUCAUUAAUCAUAUGC